AUACAGAGGGUGCGAGCGUUAAUCGGAAUUACUGGGCGUAAAGCGUGCGUAGGCGGCAGAUUAAGUCAGAUGUGUAAUCCCAGGGCUCAACCUUGGAACUGCAUCUGAUACUGGUCAGCUAGAGUUUAGGAGAGGGAAGUAGAAUUUCAGGUGUAGCGGUGAAAUGCAUAGAUAUCUGAAGGAAUACCAGUGGCGAAGGCGGCUUCCUGGCCUAAAACUGACGCUGAGGUGCGAAAGCGUGGGUAGCAAACGGGAUUAGAAACCCCAGUAGUCC
This 274-nucleotide ribosomal RNA is filed under the name uncultured bacterium. RNAcentral's name for it is "partial 16S ribosomal RNA". It matches the Rfam family "Bacterial small subunit ribosomal RNA", at positions 523 to 796 of the family's 1533-position model. The record is from RNAcentral.